This 301-nucleotide ribosomal RNA is filed under the name uncultured bacterium. RNAcentral describes it as "partial 16S ribosomal RNA". It matches the Rfam family "Bacterial small subunit ribosomal RNA", at positions 509 to 807 of the family's 1533-position model. The record is from RNAcentral.
CAGUAGCCGCGGGAAUACGAAGGGGGCUAGCGUUGCUCGGAAUGACUGGGCGUAAAGGGCGCGUAGGCGGUUUUGACAGUCAGAUGUGAAAUUCCUGGGCUUAACCUGGGGGCUGCAUUUGAGACGUCAAGACUAGAGUGUGAGAGAGGGUUGUGGAAUUCCCAGUGUAGAGGUGAAAUUCGUAGAUAUUGGGAAGAACACCGGUGGCGAAGGCGGCGACCUGGUCCUUGACUGACGCUGAGGCGCGAAAGCGUGGGGAGCAAACAGGAUUAGAUACCCCCGUAGUCCCUGUCUCUUAUAC